Long non-coding RNA from Oncorhynchus nerka (sockeye salmon), 434 nucleotides. RefSeq lists it as uncharacterized. NCBI's taxonomy places the organism in Eukaryota, Metazoa, Chordata, Actinopteri, Salmoniformes, Salmonidae. The transcript is spliced from 3 exons. The record is from RefSeq and is a predicted model, not a curated record.
CUGAUGGCGAUAUCAUAUGUUGGUUGUUUGUUGCUGAGAGUGAGACAGGCAGUUUUGGAAAACAACCCUAGGACACAGCCAAGACAAUGCAGGAGUUUUUUUGGGACAAGUCUCAAUGUCCUUGAGUGACCCAGCCAGAGCCUGGACCUGUUCGAACAUCUCUGGAGAGACCUGAACAUUUCUGUGCAGCGACGCUCCCAUCCAACUUGACAGAGCUUGAGAGAGAAACUACCCAAAUACAGGUUCCGUCCUUUCUAGGGUGUUGUUCCUAGCCACCGUGCUCCUACACCCGCAUUGCUUGUUGUUUGGGGUUUUAGGCUGGGUUUCUGUGCAGCACUUUGUGACAUAGGCUGAUGUAAAAAUGGCUUGAAAUACAUAUGAUCGAUUGGUUAUGUAAAUGUGAUAUUGAAGUUUUUUAUUCAUGAAUACAUUUC